UGAUGGGAAUGGGCAAUGAAAUAGACUUACACACUGUACAUUUUCAUGGCCAUAGCUUCCAAUACAAGCACAGGGGCGUUUAUAGUUCUGAUGUCUUUGACAUUUUCCCUGGAACAUACCAAACCCUAGAAAUGUUUCCAAGAACACCUGGAAUUUGGUUACUCCACUGCCAUGUGACCGACCACAUUCAUGCUGGAAUGGAAACCACUUACACCGUUCUACAAAAUGAAGGUGAAUAUCCAGGUAGUAAUUCUAGAAGCCAUAUAUAAAAGAUAUAAUUAAAGGAACUACUUUGCCUAAAUACUUCCCCCAAUAUGAAGCAUUUGUGAAUCUGCUGCCCGAUUUCUUCCUUCUCUACCUCCAAACAGCAUUUUUUUCCUGCUAAAUGGUGAGGGAUAUUGCUCAUUUCCUGACAGCCAGUACUUGUAAUAGCACCAGUCAUUUCUAAGUUCAUACAAAUGUGUAAUUAUACCUAAAGCUGA
This 482-nucleotide small RNA is filed under the name Pongo abelii (Sumatran orangutan). RNAcentral describes it as "retained intron". Lineage: Eukaryota; Metazoa; Chordata; Mammalia; Primates; Hominidae. The record is from RNAcentral.